This 1054-nucleotide small RNA is filed under the name uncultured Pelagibacterales bacterium. RNAcentral describes it as "bacterial SSU rRNA". The stretch from base 1 to 658 matches the Rfam family "Bacterial small subunit ribosomal RNA", at positions 867 to 1533 of the family's 1533-position model. Lineage: Bacteria; Pseudomonadati; Pseudomonadota; Alphaproteobacteria; Candidatus Pelagibacterales. The record is from RNAcentral.
CACCGCCUGGGGAGUACGACCGCAAGGUUAAAACUCAAAUGAAUUGACGGGGACCCGCACAAGUAGUGGAGCAUGUGGUUUAAUUCGAAGAUACGCGCAGAACCUUACCAACACUUGACAUGUUCGUCGCGACUUUAAGAGAUUAAAGUUUUCGGUUCGGCCGGACGAAACACAGGUGCUGCAUGGCUGUCGUCAGCUCGUGUCGUGAGAUGUUGGGUUAAGUCCCGCAACGAGCGCAACCCUCACUUUUAGUUGCCAUCAUUUAGUUGGGCACUCUGAAAGAACUGCCAGUGAUAAGCUGGAGGAAGGUGGGGAUGACGUCAAGUCCUCAUGGCCCUUACGUGUUGGGCUACACACGUGCUACAAUGGCAUUUACAACAGGAAGCAAAACGGCGACGUUAAGCAAAUCCUAAAAAAAUACCUCAGUUCGGAUUGUACUCUGCAACUCGAGUGCAUGAAGCUGGAAUUACUAGUAAUCGCGGAUCAGCGCGCCGCGGUGAAUGCGUUCCCGGGUCUUGUACACACCGCCCGUCACACCAUGGGAGUUGGUUCUACCUUAAGGCAAAGGUUAAAAACUUUGACCACGGUAUAGUCAGCGACUGGGGUGAAGUCGUAACAAGGUAGCCGUAGGGGAACCUGCGGCUGGAUUACCUCCUUUCUAAGGAUGAUUAAAAAAAACUUUUUUAAUCUAAAUAAUUAACAGGUUAAUGUUGACCGUCCUCAUUUCUCUUUUCAAAAAUGUUACUCUUGGUCUCUAAAUACGGGCCGGUAGCUCAGUUGGUUAGAGCACACCCUUGAUAAGGGUGGGGUCGAAAGUUCGAGUCUUUCUCGGCCCACCAUAUAAAUUUUCUUGGGGGGAUUAGCUCAGCUGGGAGAGCGCCUGAUUUGCAUUCAGGAGGUCAGCGGUUCGAUCCCGCUAUCCUCCACCAGAACACUUAGCUAUAAAAAAUUGUGAAUAAAAUAAUAAUUAAUAUCAAUAUCUAUAUCCGAACAUUAGUAAUGUUAUUAACUAAUGUUCAAAUAAAAAUUUGAUUCAACACAGAAUUUUUUUCUG